UGGACCAAAGAUGACAGUGUUUUGUAAUAAACGAAUAUGAUUAACACAAUUAUGUACACCUGCCAACCAUU
RNAcentral lists this small nucleolar RNA (71 nucleotides) under Mustela putorius furo (domestic ferret). RNAcentral's name for it is "Small nucleolar RNA SNORD112 (ENSMPUG00000020619.1)". Lineage: Eukaryota; Metazoa; Chordata; Mammalia; Carnivora; Mustelidae. The record is from RNAcentral.